UGGUGCCUAAAGCUGAAUGCCCGUUUGCGCAGGCGCAGUGUGCAUCACCCAUUGCAUUGUGGGUAAGAACGCUGAGGAGACUUGCGUGUGUCUCAUUGUGCCUGUAGAACGUUGAGCCCUCGGCAGUGUUGCAGAAGGGCUUCCAGCGGCAGAGGUGACAUGGACAUGCAGGCCUCUGAAAAUGAUGCAGCUGGUGAAGACUGGGCAGACGAUAUUGUUGGUGAGUCAGGUGUCCCUGGAUCCGCUGAGAGGUACGCCUCUGCAGGAGUAGCGGGUGCGGCUCCCCAACAACUUGAAGAAGAAGGCGCUGUUGCCAUGGAACAUUCACAGGAUGAAGGGAACAUACAGGCCCAAGGGCAGGGUGGAGAUGGCUCAGCCUCGGCCUCGACAUCGGCCUCAGCUGGAGGCUCUGAGAUUGAAGUGCUGAACUUCGAACUCACAGUGGAUUUCUCGGAUUCUGUGGAAGAACAUAUUUCUGAAUCUCUUAGAGAUGAAGUUUACGGGGAGCUGUCCGUGAGCGAUGGUGAUCUGAGCAUUGUUCUUACUGCAGGCGAUCCCACCCUGCUCGAGUAUUAUAGGGAGUCCGUGCUCAGGACCCUGACCACGAUGAGGCAGAACUAAAAUGGACUGAUGUAUCCGUUAUGCUACACACUUCAGGUGUAAAAGAUAUGAGAAAAUUUUGAAGUUUCGUCCUUGGACUUCUAACCCUAUGAAGUACAACCUUCCCUAGGUCCUGAUUCCUACGUGCUGGUGUUUACAAGGGCCGUGAUUGGCUCUCCAGGCUUCCACUGGUGCAUAAAUAUGUAGUAAAGCAAAAAUAAAACUGAGUCAUUAUUCCAUG
This 841-nucleotide long non-coding RNA is filed under the name Chinchilla lanigera (long-tailed chinchilla). RNAcentral describes it as "lncRNA (ENSCLAG00000025768.1)". The record is from RNAcentral. Lineage: Eukaryota; Metazoa; Chordata; Mammalia; Rodentia; Chinchillidae.